Molecule: long non-coding RNA, 263 nt
Filed under: Equus asinus (donkey)
Lineage: Eukaryota; Metazoa; Chordata; Mammalia; Perissodactyla; Equidae
Description: lncRNA (ENSEASG00005037312.1)
Source: RNAcentral
CAGCCGUAGCCUCCUCGUUCGUCUUCUCAGGACUCCAGAGAACCGUUGGGGAACUUUGGGGUGUGCUCGGAAAAUGCAGGGUGCGCACCUAGGGCGAGGGACUAGCUGGGAAGGGUGUGCCUGUGCUUGGGGAUGGGAGCAGAAAGUGUCUGGGACCUCGUUGCCCCCCGCGGCGGUGUAUAAACCCGGGCAGGCCGUCAGAGCGGCUGAACCACAGUCCUCUGUACUCGCCCAGGAGCCACAGAAAGUGAACAUCCCUCAGG